CAUUUCUCAAGGUCUGAACCCUACACCAUGGAUGGAAGUUAAGUCUGGAUUGGCAAACACAAAUCAUGUUCCAAGUUCUGCCUUCCACCUGAGUGAAAUACAUCACCGCUUUCCCUGCUCCCGCCGCCAUUAAAAUUGUGUUUGGCAUCUGACCACCAAGAUACAGAUAUUUCCUAGACUGUUUUGCAGCUAGGUACUUAGAAAUAUCAACACUGUUUGCACUAUAAUUUACUUUUUGAGCCUCUGACAUUUACCCAGCUGACUGUCUUUGGAGAACAAUCUCUUGUCUGAGAAGCACUCUAGG
This 304-nucleotide long non-coding RNA is filed under the name Homo sapiens (human). RNAcentral describes it as "HSALNT0293127". Lineage: Eukaryota; Metazoa; Chordata; Mammalia; Primates; Hominidae. The record is from RNAcentral.